CACGUAGGGCGCAAGCGUUGUCCGGAAUUAUUGGGCGUAAAGAGCUCGUAGGCGGACUGUCACGUCUGCUGUGAAAAGCUAGGGCUUAACCCCGGCCGUGCAGUGGGUACGGGCAGAUUAGAGUGCGGGUAGGGGAGAACUGGAAUUCCGUGGUGUAGCGGUGAAAUGCGCAGAUAUCGAGGAGGAACACCGGUGGCGAAGGCGGGUCUCUGGGCCGUAACUGCGCUGGAGGAGCGAAAGCGUGGGGAGCGAA
RNAcentral lists this ribosomal RNA (253 nucleotides) under uncultured bacterium. Its description in RNAcentral is "partial 16S ribosomal RNA". It matches the Rfam family "Bacterial small subunit ribosomal RNA", at positions 524 to 772 of the family's 1533-position model. The record is from RNAcentral.